RNAcentral lists this small nucleolar RNA (119 nucleotides) under Peromyscus maniculatus bairdii (prairie deer mouse). Its description in RNAcentral is "Small nucleolar RNA SNORA70 (ENSPEMG00000003571.2)". It matches the Rfam family "Small nucleolar RNA SNORA70". From Rfam's summary of the family: snoRNA U70 seems to be exclusive to mammals and is a member of the H/ACA class of snoRNA which contain H (ANANNA) and ACA box motifs. H/ACA box snoRNAs are involved in the conversion of uridines to pseudouridines (5-ribosyluracil) a constituent of structural RNAs (transfer, ribosomal, small nuclear, and small nucleolar). The record is from Rfam by way of RNAcentral. Lineage: Eukaryota; Metazoa; Chordata; Mammalia; Rodentia; Cricetidae.
UUGUAACACUAACUUAAAAAAUAAAAUGCUCCAUGGAGACCUGGUGUGCAAUGGUGGCAAACAGCAGCCUCCUUGGGCAGGUACACAGCCUGUUACCCUAAGGGACCUUCAAGACAAUU